RNAcentral lists this transfer RNA (72 nucleotides) under Propionimicrobium lymphophilum. RNAcentral describes it as "tRNA-Asn". It matches the Rfam family "tRNA". Rfam says of the family: Transfer RNA (tRNA) molecules are approximately 80 nucleotides in length. Their secondary structure includes four short double-helical elements and three loops (D, anti-codon, and T loops). Lineage: Bacteria; Bacillati; Actinomycetota; Actinomycetes; Propionibacteriales; Propionibacteriaceae. The record is from RNAcentral. RNAcentral also lists the same sequence under 1 other name.
UCCCCUGUAGCUCAACGGCAGAGCAUCUGACUGUUAAUCAGAGGGUUCCUGGUUCGAAUCCAGGCGGGGGAG